GCACGAGAGGGGCAUCCCACGGACUCUGUACCAACAACAGUAGUGUAGCGCGGACCCCUUUGUCGAGGAUACGAGCGCUCUCGGAAACGGACACGCAGGAAAGGGGGGGAACGAACGUUGCGGGUGUUGGUGUGUGUGUGUGUGCUAAGCACCAGUGAAGGUGAAGGUGCCGCAUUAUGAUUGCUUGGACGAGGCACCACCACGCGCGUUGUGCAAGCCUUCUUCGGUACAGAGGGGAGGUGUUGCACUUUUCCGCGGAUGCACAGACCGGGCUGGUUCGCCUCGUCGCAUGCCUAUGCGACAGCACUGCAGCCACCCCGAGUGGCGCCGGCGUUGCUGCAGUGAGGGACGAAGAGGCCAGGCUGUGGAGCCAAGAAGCGUGCCGCGCGCAAUGUGUGCCCUUCUCCUCUAAACAGGUAUUUGUUUCUGCGGCCCCUUUGAGUGCAGAUACGACACAGGACGAGGACGUCCUGGAAGCGACAGCGGCAUGCAUUUUUCCCUGCUACAUCUCGUGUGGCUGUCCAGUAGUUGUGCAGGUGUCGCCUGGACACCACAACUCAAAUUCCUCCGAGGCCGAGGUGAUGUCAGUGAGUUGCGCCCCACCCUCGUUGCGUGUGAAGCGCCUCUAUGUGCACAAUCCUGCUGGCAGCAAACAAGGCACCCAUGAUGCCCACACGGCUUCUUACUACGCGCGCCUACCAGAUGCCAGUUUUCAGUGCUGGCAGGAACACAGCAAAGCCGUCGACGGUAUUCUGGACGUGUGCAAAGGACGACCUGACUCAGCCCUGCACAAGCGUUUUACGGGACUAUCCAGCCUUGACGUUGAGGUGUUGGAGUUGCUGAACCUGACCAAGACUCUCGGGUGUGCCACCGGCGGCAGCGGCACCGCUUCUGUGGACUUCACUCGCAACACGUGUGGUGAGACAGCACUUUAGAGGGGUGCCCUCUGAGCCAACGAUGUGAGGCCCAACUCCUCGCAUGUGCGUGCGCUCGUAUCGCAAGGUAAAGAGCCGGAAAAAAAAAGAGAGAAAGUCAACGCCGUGGCCAGAAACAGGCAAGCACGCCCUUUCGGUGGCGCAAUGCUUUGCUCAUGAGGCAGUUCUGCCCCCCCCCCUAUUUGUGUGUGUUUGUUUGCGGGUGUGCCGUCGUGAGUUGCCUCCGCGUCCGCCAUCCUUUGUCCACAAGUUUAUCAUCUGCUCCUGCUACUGCUGCGUGUCUGCACAGAGAGAGUGCUUUGCAGAAAAAAAGAAGAAAGCGUCAACACCACACGAAACAGUGCAAUCCUCUCAUGCCCACUGUGCGAGAUUAGGGGUGAGAUGGAGAAGCAGCGGGCGAUCCGGUGCUGUGCACAUUGGGGCGUCUGCCUUCUGUUCCCCUGCGUUCAGCUCGCCCCUAUCUUUCCUGGAUUCCUUGUGACGUGUGAGACAGCAAGUGAGCUUUUGGGGCACAAUAAGAAUGCUGAGUGAGCAAAGAGAGGGAGGCUCUAUUUGAGUGGAUGUGGAGGAGUGCGGAAGGCUGUGGAGGAGAGCGAGGGCUGGGGUGUGUGACAAGGGAGGGGGUGGUGCAGCAACGCUGUGGCGUGCAACAGGUGAGGUCUGUUUUUUUUUUUUUUCUGACCCUCCUUCCCCCCUCCUAGCCUCUUUCUGCUCGAUCCUUGCCAUUUCUCUCGGUAUUGCCUCUCCUCUGUUUGCCCUCACGUACGUCCCACCUCCCUCAUUUCUUUUUCUUCCCGUGCGCGCUACCUCCGUGCCGCUGCCGACUUGGUACGCCCCAAUGGUGAAGAACAACACAUGUGCA
Molecule: unclassified non-coding RNA, 1797 nt
Filed under: Leishmania donovani
Lineage: Eukaryota; Euglenozoa; Kinetoplastea; Trypanosomatida; Trypanosomatidae
Description: gene:LdHU3.28.1060(CDS-product:hypothetical_prote in_conserved)
Source: RNAcentral